UGCGUAGGUGGUGAGGUAAGUCGGAUGUGAAAGCUCGGAGCUCAACUCCGAAAUGGCAUUGGAAACUACCUUGCUCGAGGGAUGGAGGGGGGACUGGAAUUCUCGGUGUAGCAGUGAAAUGCGUAGAUAUCGAGAGGAACACCAGUGGCGAAGGCGAGUCCCUGGACAUCUCCUGACACUGAGGCAAGACUAGGGGAGCGAAC
Molecule: ribosomal RNA, 203 nt
Filed under: uncultured bacterium
Lineage: Bacteria
Description: partial 16S ribosomal RNA
Rfam family: Bacterial small subunit ribosomal RNA
Source: RNAcentral